RNAcentral lists this ribosomal RNA (443 nucleotides) under Synalpheus pandionis. RNAcentral describes it as "partial 16S ribosomal RNA". It matches the Rfam family "Bacterial large subunit ribosomal RNA", at positions 1927 to 2583 of the family's 2925-position model. Lineage: Eukaryota; Metazoa; Arthropoda; Malacostraca; Decapoda; Alpheidae. The record is from RNAcentral.
AGGGCUGCGGUAAUUUGACCGUGCAAAGGUAGCAUAAUCAAUAGUCUUUUAAUUGGAGGCUUGAAUGAAAGGUUUGACGGAGGGAAGACUGUCUUUUUGGUUUAUAUUGAAUUUAACUUUUGUGUGAAAAGGCAUUAAUGGUUUAAAGGGACGAUAAGACCCUAUAAAACUUUAUAUAUUAUAUUAUUUAACUAAAGUGUUAUACUAAUUGUUAGAUAGUUAAUUGUAUUUUGCUGGGGCGGCAAAAAUAUAACUGUAACUGUUUAAGAUAUGAAAUAUUUGUUAAUAAAAAAUGGUCCUUUAUUAAGGAGAUAAGAGUAAGUUACUUUAGGGAUAACAGCAUAAUUUCUUUAGAGAGUUCUUAUCGAAGAAGUUAGUUGUGACCUCGAUGUUGAAUUAAAUUUUCCUUUAGGUGUAGGAGUUUAAAAGGAAAGGCCUGUUCG